GACGAACGCUGGCGGCGUGCUUAACACAUGCAAGUCGAACGGAAAGGCCCUGCUUUUGUGGGGUGCUCGAGUGGCGAACGGGUGAGUAACACGUGAGUAACCUGCCCUUGACUUUGGGAUAACUUCAGGAAACUGGGGCUAAUACCGGAUAGGAGCUCCUGCUGCAUGGGGGGGGUUGGAAAGUUUCGGCGGUUGGGGAUGGACUCGCGGCUUAUCAGCUUGUUGGUGGGGUAGUGGCUUACCAAGGCUGUGACGGGUAGCCGGCCUGAGAGGGUGACCGGCGACAUUGGGACUGAGAUACGGCCCAGACUCCUACGGGAGGCAGCAGUGGGGAAUAUUGCACAAUGGGGGGAAGCCUGAGACAGCGACGCCGCGUGCGGGAUGACGGCUUUCGGGUUGUAAACCGCUUUCGCCUGUGACGAAGCGUGAGUGACGGUAAUGGGUAAAGAAGCACCGGCUAACUACGUG
This 468-nucleotide ribosomal RNA is filed under the name uncultured bacterium. Its description in RNAcentral is "partial 16S ribosomal RNA". It matches the Rfam family "Bacterial small subunit ribosomal RNA", at positions 28 to 507 of the family's 1533-position model. The record is from RNAcentral.